This 423-nucleotide ribosomal RNA is filed under the name uncultured Bacteroidota bacterium. RNAcentral describes it as "bacterial SSU rRNA". It matches the Rfam family "Bacterial small subunit ribosomal RNA", at positions 355 to 774 of the family's 1533-position model. The record is from RNAcentral. Lineage: Bacteria; Pseudomonadati; Bacteroidota.
UGAGGAAUAUUGGACAAUGGGUGAGAGCCUGAUCCAGCCAUCCCGCGUGCAGGAAGACGGCCCUAUGGGUUGUAAACUGCUUUUAUACAUGAAUAAACCACUUUACGGGUUAAGGUGUUGAAGGUAAUGUAUGAAUAAGCAUCGGCUAACUCCGUGCCAGCAGCCGCGGUAAUACGGAGGAUGCGAGCGUUAUCCGGAUUUAUUGGGUUUAAAGGGUCCGUAGGCGGGCUAAUAAGUCAGUGGUGAAAUCGUUCAGCUUAACUGAGCAACUGCCAUUGAUACUGUUAGUCUUGAGUGAAUUUGAAGUUGCCGGAAUAUGUAGUGUAGCGGUGAAAUGCAUAGAUAUUACAUAGAACACCAAUUGCGAAGGCAGGUAACUAAGAUUUAACUGACGCUGAUGGACGAAAGCGUGGGGAGCGAACA